This 234-nucleotide long non-coding RNA is filed under the name Elaeis guineensis (African oil palm). Its description in RNAcentral is "long non-coding RNA (EGUI_LNC007735)". Lineage: Eukaryota; Viridiplantae; Streptophyta; Magnoliopsida; Arecales; Arecaceae. The record is from RNAcentral.
AGGGUUGCCUCAAGUCAGAUGACAGCCAGUAGGAACUUCUUGCGCUUGAUCUUGCCUUCAGUGAACCUCUCCACUGCCAUGCUAUCUACCAACCUGAUCCAAAGAUCCAUCAUCUUUGAUUUCUCUUUAUUUAUGGUCUGAAGGAGGUCAUCAUUGGCCUUUCAAAAUGAAGCAAGUUUACUCUAAAGAUCAACAACUAUUAACCUCCCUUUAUUAAUCAUCUGGUCGAGAUUA